Molecule: ribosomal RNA, 253 nt
Filed under: uncultured bacterium
Lineage: Bacteria
Description: partial 16S ribosomal RNA
Rfam family: Bacterial small subunit ribosomal RNA
Source: RNAcentral
UACGAAGGGGGCGAGCGUUAUUCGGAAUCACUGGGCGUAAAGCGUGCGUAGGCGGUCUUAUAAGUUAGGAGUGAAAGCCCAGGGCUUAACCUUGGAAUUGCUCUUAAAACUGCAAGGCUAGAAUCUCGGAGAGGAUAGCGGAAUUUCCAGUGUAGCAGUGAAAUGCGUAGAUAUUGGAAGGAACACCAGUGGCGUAAGCGGCUAUCUGGACAAGUAUUGACGCUAAGGCACGAAAACAUAAAGAUCAAACAGG